UACGAAGGGGGCUAGCGUUGCUCGGAAUGACUGGGCGUAAAGGGCGCGCAGGCGGACUGCACAGUCAGGCGUGAAAUUCCUGGGCUUAACCUGGGGACUGCGUCUGAGACGUGUGAUCUAGAGUGAGGAAGAGGGUCGUGGAAUUUCGCGUGUAGAGGUGAAAUUCGUAGAUAUUGGAAAGAACACCGGUGGCGAAGGCGGCGACCUGGUCCUUGACUGACGCUGAGGCGCGAAAGCGUGGGGAGCAAACAGG
This 253-nucleotide ribosomal RNA is filed under the name uncultured bacterium. Its description in RNAcentral is "partial 16S ribosomal RNA". It matches the Rfam family "Bacterial small subunit ribosomal RNA", at positions 524 to 776 of the family's 1533-position model. The record is from RNAcentral.